Molecule: long non-coding RNA, 433 nt
Filed under: Pan troglodytes (chimpanzee)
Lineage: Eukaryota; Metazoa; Chordata; Mammalia; Primates; Hominidae
Description: long non-coding RNA NONPTRT012712
Source: RNAcentral
GUCGACAUAUCUUAUUCCUUUGUUGCAGGACAAGAACUUGGAACUUGCUGAGCUGGGGAUGGCGGGAGUAAAAGAGUUGUAACCUUCCCUUCUGCUCCCCAAACAAUGUGAGAGAAGAAACCAUUAGACGCCACUCUCUCCUGUUAGCCCAACUGCCAGAGCGGAAAAAGUUGUGACGUCACUGGCUUACUCAGCAAGCUAACUGUGGGAGGUGGGAGUAGAAGAGCUGUAACCUCUCCCACUCGAGGAACUACCCUCCUGCUUGACAAAUUACAGGAGCAAAAAAGCCACGUAUCAGAGGAGACUUCAGGAAAAUUAAGCCUGACAGUCUCUCCAAACAACUUUGUGCACAUAUUAAGUAAAGGAGGAGGUACUGCUUACACCUAAAACCUAAUCUCAGAUGAAUUAUGGAGUGAAUAUAACUAGUACUGAG